ACCAGGGGCAUUCGGGGCUGCAGCUCACACUCAGCUCCAGCGCGCCGUGGCAAGUGAAACUGAAAAUCAGUUUGCUUGGCGGAGGGGUGGGAAAGCCACCACCGAACAAAGAGAUGCCGUUACUCUAUGGCAGCGCGCACGAGGAGCCCACAGACCCGCACUGCACACUCGGGGCCCGCGGGAGGUUUGCUAUUUACAGCGAGCGCACACCCCAAACGUACCCCCGGCGUGCGCGCGUGCGCACACACACACACACCCCAAUGUGUGCAUUUCUGAACCGCUCGCGCGACCCCACACCUAGUCUGAAUUCCGCUGGAGCCCAAAGCGAGUGGUCGCCAAGAUUAACCGCCACCCCGAAUCUCGCGGAGCCCCACUCCACGCCUCCCGACUCGGAGAAAUGGGCACCAGACACACGCGCACAGAGGAGCGCCCGGAGCGGAGCGGCAGAGGGCGCAGGCGCACGGGCAGCCGCCUAGCCCAGCCCGCAAGCAGAGAGCUCUGCGCUGCCCUUCACCUGCGCGGCGGGGUCGGCUAGGAGCAUUAAAGCCCCAGGU
This 554-nucleotide long non-coding RNA is filed under the name Dasypus novemcinctus (nine-banded armadillo). Its description in RNAcentral is "lncRNA (ENSDNOG00000050999.1)". Lineage: Eukaryota; Metazoa; Chordata; Mammalia; Cingulata; Dasypodidae. The record is from RNAcentral.